GACGAACCGUCCGAACGUUAUUCGGAAUCACUGGGCUUAAAGCGCACGUAGGCGGCGACGCAAGUCGGGGGUGAAAGGCCACGGCUCAACCGUGGAAUUGCCUCCGAAACUGUGUCGCUCGAGGGAGGUAGGGGCCUGUGGAACUUCCGGUGGAGCGGUGAAAUGUGUUGAGAUCGGAAGGAACGCCCGUGGCGAAAGCGGCAGGCUGGAUCUCUUCUGACGCUGAGGUGCGAAAGCUAGGGUAGCGAACGGG
Molecule: unclassified non-coding RNA, 253 nt
Filed under: uncultured Planctomycetia bacterium
Lineage: Bacteria; Pseudomonadati; Planctomycetota; Planctomycetia
Description: contains 16S-23S intergenic spacer region
Rfam family: Bacterial small subunit ribosomal RNA
Source: RNAcentral